This 239-nucleotide long non-coding RNA is filed under the name Hordeum vulgare. RNAcentral describes it as "long non-coding RNA (HVUL_LNC013520)". The record is from RNAcentral. Lineage: Eukaryota; Viridiplantae; Streptophyta; Magnoliopsida; Poales; Poaceae.
AAUGAACUCCUUGCUCUUGUGCUUCUAAAGAUAGUCUCGUCAACGCAAAAUCACUCUCUCGGAGAAUAGGCAUGGGUAGGAGAGAUUGAUUUGGUGGAAAGCAGUUUGGGGAGGCUGGAGAUCAAGUUUCAAAUGAUUGGAUUGGAAUAUCUUGGUCUCCACACAUGAGUAGGUGGUUCUCUCUCAGAAAAUGGAUCUCGCAAUGAAGUGUGUGUUAUGAGUGCUUCUCCUAGGAAUGA